GCUGCUGAAUUUGCUCCUGUGCUGUACCUCUGGGCAGCUAUCAGCAGAGCACACAAAUCACCACCCCCUGCAGCAGCACAGCCAACGUGAUGGAUCAGGGCUGAUCACCUGCUUUCAACCUCAGGGGAGUGGCUGAAGGACGGGUGAAGCCUGCCCUGCUCAGAUGCAUUCAUUUUCUCUGCAUCAGUGCUGGGGAGGUACCUCCCUGCUGCUCCCUGAGACACUAUGUCUUGUAGAAGAGGCAAGCAAAGCUUCUUGACCUGACAAACUUCAUUUGGCUUCAAAUUUUAGGGGCUGCAACCCAUGGACAUCUUCCAUGGCUUACUGAUAAAAGCUUUGGAUCC
Lagopus leucura (white-tailed ptarmigan) is the source of this 344-nucleotide long non-coding RNA. RefSeq lists it as uncharacterized. The transcript is spliced from 3 exons. The record is from RefSeq and is a predicted model, not a curated record. Lineage: Eukaryota; Metazoa; Chordata; Aves; Galliformes; Phasianidae.